This 230-nucleotide ribosomal RNA is filed under the name uncultured bacterium. RNAcentral's name for it is "partial 16S ribosomal RNA". It matches the Rfam family "Bacterial small subunit ribosomal RNA", at positions 562 to 791 of the family's 1533-position model. The record is from RNAcentral.
AAAGGGUGCGUAGGUGGCCUGGUAAGUCAGGGGUGAAAGACGGUAGCUUAACUAUCGCAGUGCCUUUGAUACUGCCGGGCUUGAAUGAACUAGAGGUAGGCGGAAUGUGACAAGUAGCGGUGAAAUGCAUAGAUAUGUCACAGAACACCGAUUGCGAAGGCAGCUUACUAUGGUUUUAUUGACACUGAGGCACGAAAGCGUGGGGAUCAAACAGGAUUAGAUACCCCUGU